This 770-nucleotide ribosomal RNA is filed under the name uncultured bacterium. Its description in RNAcentral is "bacterial SSU rRNA". It matches the Rfam family "Bacterial small subunit ribosomal RNA", at positions 8 to 771 of the family's 1533-position model. The record is from RNAcentral.
AGAGUUUGAUCCUGGCUCAGGAUGAACGCUAGCGGGAGGCUUAAUACAUGCAAGUCGAACGGCAGCAGGAUUAAUUUAUUAAUGGAUGGCAAGUGGCGCACGGGUGAGUAACGCGUACACAACCUGCCCUUAAGAGGGGGAUAGCCCUGGGAAACUGGGAGUAAUACCGCAUAGUAUUAACCGGAUGCAUAUUUGGUUAAUUAAAGUUUAGGCGCUUAAGGAUGGGUGUGCGUUAGAUUAGGUAGUUGGUGAGGUAACGGCUCACCAAGCCGACGAUCUAUAGGGGGCGUGAGAGCGUGACCCCCCACACGGGUACUGAGACACGGACCCGACUCCUACGGGAGGCAGCAGUAAGGAAUAUUGGACAAUGCCCGCAAGGGUGAUCCAGCCAUCCCGCGUGCAGGAAGACUGCCCUAUGGGUUGUAAACUGCUUUUGUAAGGGAAGAAACCCCCUGAUGCGUUAGGGGUUGACGGUACCUUAAGAAUAAGCACCGGCUAACUCCGUGCCAGCAGCCGCGGUAAUACGGAGGGUGCAAGCGUUAUCCGGAAUCACUGGGUUUAAAGGGUGCGUAGGCGGCUUUAUAAGUCAGGGGUGAAAUGCUACGGCUUAACUGUGGAAUUGCCUUUGAAACUAUAGAGCUGGAAUAGAGUUGAGGUUGGCGGAAUGUGACAUGUAGCGGUGAAAUGCAUAGAUAUGUCAUAGAACAUCGAUUGCGAAGGCAGCUAACUGGGCUUUUAUUGACGCUGAGGCACGAAAGCGUGGGGAUCAA